GGGUUGUGAGGUUAAGCGACUAAGCGUACACGGUGGAUGCCCUGGCAGUCAGAGGCGAUGAAGGGCGUGCUAAUCUGCGAUAAGCGCCGGUAAGGUGAUAUGAACCGUUAUAACCGGCGAUACCCGAAUGGGGAAACCCAGUGUGACUCGUCACACUAUCAUUAACUGAAUCCAUAGGUUAAUGAGGCGAACCGGGGGAACUGAAACAUCUAAGUACCCCGAGGAAAAGAAAUCAACCGAGAUUCCCCCAGUAGCGGCGAGCGAACGGGGAGGAGCCCAGAGCCUGAAUCAGCAUGUGUGUUAGUGGAAGCGUCUGGAAAGGCGCGCGAUACAGGGUGACAGCCCCGUACACAAAAGCGCAUGUGCUGUGAGCUCGAUGAGUAGGGCGGGACACGUGGUAUCCUGUCUGAAUAUGGGGGGACCAUCCUCCAAGGCUAAAUACUCCUGACUGACCGAUAGUGAACCAGUACCGUGAGGGAAAGGCGAAAAGAACCCCGGCGAGGGGAGUGAAAAAGAACCUGAAACCGUGUACGUACAAGCAGUGGGAGCCCCACCACCAAAGCAUUUGCUGUACCGCGUUGACGGAGCGAAGCGACGUCAAACCGAUAAAACAGCAGUGUAAAGUGAGCCGCAGGGCGCUUUGCGCGACAGCGCAAAGGCAGGCGGUUUCGCGUAGCGAAAGCGAAUGCUUUGGGGUGGGGUGACUGCGUACCUUUUGUAUAAUGGGUCAGCGACUUAUAUUCUGUAGCAAGGUUAACCGAAUAGGGGAGCCGGAGGGAAACCGAGUCUUAAUUGGGCGUUAAGUUGCAGGGUAUAGACCCGAAACCCGGUGAUCUAGCCAUGGGCAGGUUGAAGGUUGGGUAACACUAACUGGAGGACCGAACCGACUAAUGUUGAAAAAUUAGCGGAUGACCUGUGGCUGGGGGUGAAAGGCCAAUCAAACCGGGAGAUAGCUGGUUCUCCCCGAAAGCUAUUUAGGUAGCGCCUCGUGAAUUCAUCUCCGGGGGUAGAGCACUGUUUCGGCUAGGGGGCCAUCCCGGCU
RNAcentral lists this ribosomal RNA (1042 nucleotides) under Salmonella enterica subsp. enterica serovar Enteritidis. Its description in RNAcentral is "partial 23S ribosomal RNA". It matches the Rfam family "Bacterial large subunit ribosomal RNA", at positions 1 to 936 of the family's 2925-position model. Lineage: Bacteria; Pseudomonadati; Pseudomonadota; Gammaproteobacteria; Enterobacterales; Enterobacteriaceae. The record is from RNAcentral.